RNAcentral lists this ribosomal RNA (497 nucleotides) under uncultured bacterium. RNAcentral's name for it is "partial 16S ribosomal RNA". It matches the Rfam family "Bacterial small subunit ribosomal RNA", at positions 28 to 507 of the family's 1533-position model. The record is from RNAcentral.
GAUGAACGCUGGCGGCGUGCCUAAUACAUGCAAGUCGAGCGAACAGACGAGGAGCUUGCUCCUCUGACGUUAGCGGCGGACGGGUGAGUAACACGUGGAUAACCUACCUAUAAGACUGGGAUAACUUCGGGAAACCGGAGCUAAUACCGUAUAAUAUAUUGAACCGCAUGGUUCAAUAGUGAAAGACGGUUUUGCUGUCACUUAUAGAUGGAUCCGCGCCGCAUUAGCUAGUUGGUAAGGUAACGGCUUACCAAGGCGACGAUGCGUAGCCGACCUGAGAGGGUGAUAGGCCACACUGGAACUGAGACACGGUCAAGACGCCUACGGGAGGCAGCAGUAGGGAAUCUUCCGCAAAGGGCGAAAGCCUGACGGAGCAACGCCGCGUGAGUGAUGAAGGUCUUCGGAUCGUAAAACUCUGUUAUUAGGGAAGAACAAAUGUGUAAGUAACUAUGCACGUCUUGACGGUACCUAAUCAGAAAGCCACGGCUAACUACGUG